AGGUUCGGUACAACCGCGGGAUAUCUGCGCUCUGUAUACCGAAUGGUGCCCUCCUGUAUAGCGAUAUUUGGGGGGUAAAGACUUGUUCGCCUUGGAAUGGGCCCGUCGUCGGAUUAGUUUGUUUGUGGGGUAACGGCCUACCAAGCCUGCGAUCCGUAGCCGGUCUGAGAGGAUGAUCGGCCACACUGGGANCUGAGACACGGCCCAGACUCGUACGGGAGGCAGCAGUGGGGAAUCUUGGACAAUGGGCGCAAGCCUGAUCCAGCGACGCCGCGUGGGUGACGAAGGCCUUCGGGGUUUGUUAAGCCCUUUUCCUCGGCGACGAAUGAUGAUGGUAGCCGAGGAAUAAGGAACCGGCUAAACUCCGUGCCAGCAGCCGGCGGUAAGAACGGAGGGUCCUAGCUUG
Molecule: ribosomal RNA, 406 nt
Filed under: uncultured bacterium
Lineage: Bacteria
Description: bacterial SSU rRNA
Rfam family: Bacterial small subunit ribosomal RNA
Source: RNAcentral